GGGACAUCGAAAAAAAGUUAAAAAAUGGACUCUUAAUCCGUUGGUUCAAGGUUCAAGUCCUUGGUGGCCUACCA
RNAcentral lists this transfer RNA (74 nucleotides) under Desulfovibrio sp. JC022. Its description in RNAcentral is "tRNA-Leu". The record is from RNAcentral. Lineage: Bacteria; Pseudomonadati; Thermodesulfobacteriota; Desulfovibrionia; Desulfovibrionales; Desulfovibrionaceae.